This 596-nucleotide long non-coding RNA is filed under the name Equus asinus (donkey). Its description in RNAcentral is "lncRNA (ENSEASG00005034409.1)". The record is from RNAcentral. Lineage: Eukaryota; Metazoa; Chordata; Mammalia; Perissodactyla; Equidae.
GUCUAAGUUGCCUCGGAUAAUGAAGUUUCCAAAAUUUCCGUUUGGUGUUCCCCGAUGAAAAUGCUUGUUCACCAAGAGUCAGAGAUAAUAAAAUAUUUCAGCAAGUCUGUAAGAAGUGGGACACUAUUUCCACGUUCCAGGAAUGUAAGUGGACCAUGAAGUUUUGAAAGAAGUGUGAGAGGGUAUUGUAGGAGGCCAGGAAGUGAAUGGUGAAUGUAUAUACCCAGCUGGUAUGGGACUGUGCAGAUCUGAAGACUUAUCCAUGAAUCAUGGAAUCACAGAUGUUUGGAGCAGGAAGGAAAUUUAGAAACCAACUAAUAUGAAGCAUCCGUCUACUGUAAUAUCAACAUGAGUCAACUUUCUAAGAAUUGUCAAAUCUGGAGCUUGACAACAUUAAGUCUGUGGACCAAUGGAAAAUAUUAACAAUUCACACAAAAAAUAUGUGUUGGUCGCCUAAUGUCUAUGAAGUACUGGGGACAAAAGAUGAUGAGAGAAAAUAUUCAAGGGAAGUUGAUAAUUUGCAUCCUUAUAUUACUGCCUCAUGUUUAGAUUCCUUCCAAAAAUUAGAAUCUGUUCAACAAUUAAAACUAUGCUGA